This 745-nucleotide ribosomal RNA is filed under the name uncultured Actinomycetes bacterium. RNAcentral describes it as "bacterial SSU rRNA". It matches the Rfam family "Bacterial small subunit ribosomal RNA", at positions 72 to 830 of the family's 1533-position model. Lineage: Bacteria; Bacillati; Actinomycetota; Actinomycetes. The record is from RNAcentral.
UCCAGUCGCAAGACCGGUGAAGACCUAGUGGCGAACGGGUGAGUAACACGUGAGGAACCUGCCCCGAAGACCGGGAUAACCCACCGAAAGGUGAGCUAAUACCGGAUACCUUCACGACGUCUCAUGGCGAUGUGAAGAAAUGGAUUCCGCUUCGGGAGGGUCUCGCGGCCUAUCAGCUAGUUGGUGAGGUAACGGCUCACCAAGGCGACGACGGGUAGCUGUUCUGAGAGGAAGAUCAGCCACACUGGGACUGAGACACGGCCCAGACUCCUACGGGAGGCAGCAGUGGGGAAUCUUGCGCAAUGGGCGAAAGCCUGACGCAGCGACGCCGCGUGCGGGAAGACGGCCUUCGGGUUGUAAACCGCUUUCAGCAGGGACGAAAAUGACGGUACCUGCAGAAGAAGCUCCGGCCAACUACGUGCCAGCAGCCGCGGUAAGACGUAGGGGGCGAGCGUUGUCCGGAAUUAUUGGGCGUAAAGGGCUCCUAGGUUGUUCAGUAAGUCGACUGUGAAAAUCCAAGGCUCAACCUUGGGACGCCAGUCGAUACUGCUGUGACUCGAGUUCGGUAGAGGAGUGUGGAAUUCCUGGUGUAGCGGUGAAAUGCGCAGAUAUCAGGAGGAACACCAACGGCGAAGGCAGCACUCUGGGCCGAUACUGACACUGAAGAGCGAAAGCAUGGGGAGCAAACAGGAUUAGAUACCCUGGUAGUCCAUGCCGUAAACGUUGGGCACUAGGUGUGGGGUUC